GAGAGGACCUUUCCCUAGUACGAGAGGAUUGAGAAGGACGCACCUCUGGUGUGCCAGUUAUCGUGCCCACGAUAAACGCUGGGUAGCCAAGUGCGGAGCGGAUAACUGCUGAAAGCAUCUAAGUAGUACUGUACAUAAAACA
RNAcentral lists this non-coding RNA (142 nucleotides) under Glycine max (soybean). Its description in RNAcentral is "Bacterial large subunit ribosomal RNA". It matches the Rfam family "Bacterial large subunit ribosomal RNA", at positions 2664 to 2806 of the family's 2925-position model. Lineage: Eukaryota; Viridiplantae; Streptophyta; Magnoliopsida; Fabales; Fabaceae. The record is from Rfam by way of RNAcentral.